This 395-nucleotide unclassified non-coding RNA is filed under the name Athalia rosae (coleseed sawfly). RNAcentral describes it as "misc RNA ENSAEAG00005000848.1". Lineage: Eukaryota; Metazoa; Arthropoda; Insecta; Hymenoptera; Athaliidae. The record is from RNAcentral.
UUAUUUCGAAAAAAUCAGGUUUUAUCAAAGCUAUUUAUUUUAGCGACUCGAACGUGCUGGAGUUUUGAAAAUUUAAAAAUAAAUACCAGAUGAUUUGACAUGCAAAUAUGCUCGAGAUAACCAGUUUCUGACUGAAUUGAUGUCAGAGACUGAAAGAUUAUUGAAUAUUCAAAAAUGUGACCUUACCUUCAUAAUUGGCAUCUUCACACAAUCGGUCACAACACGAUAUGCUCCAAAAUUGAGUAUGCAGAGCGGCGAUAUUUUGCUCCACAUAUUUCCUGUGUAUGUUCUGGGCUGGGUAGUUGGCAACUUUCUUGCCAUCCACGUGUAUAAUGAUUAAUGUGAAGAUCUGAAGAGUUGUAGAACUUCAUUUUGGGUGGAGGAUCCAUGCUGAC